This is a long non-coding RNA of Leptopilina boulardi, 449 nucleotides long. RefSeq lists it as uncharacterized. The record is from RefSeq and is a predicted model, not a curated record. The transcript has 3 exons. NCBI's taxonomy places the organism in Eukaryota, Metazoa, Arthropoda, Insecta, Hymenoptera, Figitidae.
UGGAUUUUACAUAAUUGUAUACAUAUAAGUCAUAAGUACCCCAGUAAAAAAAAGAAUUGUGAGUAAAGUAAACCAAAUUGGCAGUGACUUAAGCUCAAUUCGGUUUCGCGUCUAAACCGUAUUGGAACGUUAACGGAUUUUGAAAGCAGCUUCAUUUGCGGAAGAACUAUUAUAUGGACCCAGAAUUGAUGAUUCUAUCUGAUUUCCAAAAAAAAUUUCAUCUUCAUGUAAAUCUGAAAAACGGCCGCUUUUUUUUACGAAAAUCGAACGUUCAACUUUGACAGGUCGCCAUUUUGUCACCGCAAACCAUGUUUUUCGGAAGGACGUCACUUCAACAGCCGGACAUAACUCUGGAACUAUUUAAUAUUUUUAACUUUUUUUUUAAAUUCAAGUUUAAAUUAUGUACUUUUAGAUAAUAAAUCGAUAUUUUGAAAAAAUUUAAUAGUUUA